GCUCCCGAAGCGUAGAUGGUGACGCACCUGACUCGUAACCAGGAGAACGGGGUUCGAUCCCCCGCGGGAGCUCCA
Molecule: transfer RNA, 75 nt
Filed under: Myxococcales bacterium
Lineage: Bacteria; Pseudomonadati; Myxococcota; Myxococcia; Myxococcales
Description: tRNA-Thr
Rfam family: tRNA
About the family: Transfer RNA (tRNA) molecules are approximately 80 nucleotides in length.
Source: RNAcentral